Molecule: ribosomal RNA, 625 nt
Filed under: Colletotrichum godetiae
Lineage: Eukaryota; Fungi; Ascomycota; Sordariomycetes; Glomerellales; Glomerellaceae
Description: eukaryotic LSU rRNA
Rfam family: Eukaryotic large subunit ribosomal RNA
Source: RNAcentral
GUUGACCUCGGAUCAGGUAGGACUACCCGCUGAACUUAAGCAUAUCAAUAAGCGGAGGAAAAGAAACCAACAGGGAUUGCCCCAGUAACGGCGAGUGAAGCGGCAACAGCUCAAAUUUGAAAUCUGGCCCCAGGCCCGAGUUGUAAUUUGCAGAGGAUGCUUUUGGCGCGGUGCCUUCCGAGUUCCCUGGAACGGGACGCCAUAGAGGGUGAGAGCCCCGUACGGGUUGGACACCAAGCCUUUGUAAAGCUCCUUCGACGAGUCGAGUAGUUUGGGAAUGCUGCUCUAAAUGGGAGGUACAUUUCUUCUAAAGCUAAAUAUUGGCCAGAGACCGAUAGCGCACAAGUAGAGUGAUCGAAAGAUGAAAAGCACUUUGAAAAGAGGGUAAACAGCACGUGAAAUUGUUAAAAGGGAAGCGCUUGUGACCAGACUUGCGUCCGGUGAAUCACCCAGCUCUCGCGGCUGGGGCACUUCGCCGGCACAGGCCAGCAUCAGCUUGCCGUCGGGGACAAAAGCUUCAGGAACGUAGCUCCUCUCGGGGAGUGUUAUAGCCUGUUGUAUAAUACCCUUCGGCGGGCUGAGGUACGCGCUCCGCAAGGAUGCUGGCGUAAUGGUCAUCAGCGAC